CUUCAAGUUGUUUUACAGGAGACCAGUCGCCAAAUGAGAGAGACCUGACCAAAGCUGAUACCGGUAUCUGACGAUGAGACAGUGAACCAGUCCUAAACCUGAACUGUGAUUGUAACCAAAGUGCCAAGAAUCUGAACCGAGCUACUGUUGAUGCUGAAACCGAUCUUCUACCACAAGACAACUACUCCAAAAGACUAUAUAUAUAAAUAUGUGUAUAUAUACGCGGGAUAUAAACAAAUACAUGACAUAUAAGUGUUACGUAAAAAUAGUAUGGAAUAAGGGGUGGAGAAUGUAGUAGUUUUAAGACUAGGCCUUCCUUGGUGACCAGGUUGUAACCAAGGAACCAAGGACAUGUUCCCAGUAUUCCAUACGAUUUUUACGUAAGCAAGAGUAUAAAUAAGAAGAGAGAGGAAACUCUCGCUCUCUUUCUUCCGGUGGACCGAAGGCGAAGGUAGCUUUGCUGUCGCUCUGCCCGGGUGAGGGAGUGAGGCCUAGCGCAUCUGGUUGGCCUUGAGAGGCAGAGCGUGCCGGUGGUUGUGUGGUGUGGUUCGCUAUCUCUGGAGGGAAGUAUUUGCAUUGUAUCCCUUUUUAUCCCUUUUUCCUUUUCCCUUUCCCUUCCCUUUCCCCCUUUAGGGGGUUCCCUGUAUAUAAUUUUCUUUUUAUAUAUAAAUCUUCCACUUAAAAUUCA
This is a long non-coding RNA of Myiozetetes cayanensis, 688 nucleotides long. RefSeq lists it as uncharacterized. The record is from RefSeq and is a predicted model, not a curated record. The transcript is spliced from 2 exons. NCBI's taxonomy places the organism in Eukaryota, Metazoa, Chordata, Aves, Passeriformes, Tyrannidae.